Molecule: ribosomal RNA, 473 nt
Filed under: uncultured bacterium
Lineage: Bacteria
Description: SSU rRNA
Rfam family: Bacterial small subunit ribosomal RNA
Source: RNAcentral
AGGAUAAACGCUGGCGGCGUGCCUAAUGCAUGCAAGUCGCACGGAGUGUCUCUUCGGAGGCAUUGAGUGGCGAACGGGUGAGGAACGCGUGGACAACCUACCCCGGCGUGGGGGAUACCCGCCAGAAAAUGGCGGCUAAUACCGCGUACGGUCGUCGAACGAAGGGUUUGACGAAGAAAGCAGUAAUGCGCGCUGGGAGGGGUCUGCGGCCGAUUAGCUUGUUGGCGGGGUAAUGGCUCACCAAGGCGAUGAUCGGUAGCUGGUCUGAGAGGAUGAUCAGCCACACGGGGACUGAGAGACGGCCCCGACUCCUACGGGAGGCAGCAGCAAGGAAUUUUCCGCAAUGGGGCAACCCUGACGGAGCAACGCCGCGUGACGGAUGACGCCUCUUGGGUGUAAACGUCUUUUGCCGUAGGGAGAGAAUGGACGGUACUCGGCGAAUAAGGACCGGCUAACUACGUGCCAGCAGCCGC